UGUGUUAACAGAGAAAUCAGAGAAAUUGACAAAAAAAAAAAACAAACAAAUGAGGGUCGAACGAUGGAAAGAAUCAAAACUUUGCCCACUGACAAACCUCUCAACUCAUUGACAUUGGAAGCAACAACGGUCAAACAAAACCAGUUCACACAGAAAUUAGAUUAAUUUGGCGUCCUCGACUUCGUUAACAAUUUCCCUGUCCCCCGCCCAGUGAAAAUACAUCAGUAGAGCAGGCUCUACCCAAAGUUUUAUUCAUCUAAAUAUGUUUGUCAUAGCGUCGCCUUAGAUGCUGCUGCUUUAUAUUUAUUUGUCUGCCUGAAAUGUUGGAGUUCCCCAUUUUUUGAGUGCUCGAGCGACAUUAGUUCCGCAUUCAGGGACUCGAUUCUCGACUGCAGUUGCAUCUCCUUCUCCGGGACAUCUGGGGAGUCGCGGGGAGUCACCGUAUUUUCGGCGGGGAGGAGCGAACGUGUUUCUUAUUAUUUUUCGCUGAUUAAUCGAUUGUCGGCUGCGUGUCGCUGGGUCUCCCUGCCUCCAUAUGUCAUCCCGACUGCAGCGCCCAGUGAUUCAGACACUUGUCACUGGAAAAAUGUAAACAUGAAAUGCAUUUAUGUAGAAAUGUAAAAAAUAUCUGCGCGAAAUACAAACAUCCCCCGUCAUCUGGGGGAGGAUGCAAAGUUGCUGUUGGUAAAAAAUGGGUUGACAUGGCGCGUCUCAGUUGAGAGACCCGCUCGGACUGGAUUGGAGUAAGAAAAAUUAAAAUCUUUAAUAUUACCGAAUAUUUUCGGAGAAAAAAUUUGAAUCGUGGUAAGCAGCCACCAAAGAAUUUACUAGUUUGUAACAGUAUAUAGCUUACAAAAUAAAUAUAAAUACUAUUAUUUGUGUUUUACAAGUAAUAUUCCUUAGCAUUUUAGUUCUGUUUUUGUUCUCAAGACUCAAAAGUUUUGUUGUGAAAUAAAUAAAUUUCGCCGUUUUAAACACAAGAUAUUUCACAUCUAAUAGUGAUCUAAAUUUGUGUUAGUCGUAUUCCCAGUUCCUUUGCCAGGAGCAGGCCGCAAUUUGAGCCGCAUGGAUUGGAUUUCUUUAAGCCCUUGGCAUGGGCCUUCUCAUUGUUUUCCGAGUGGCGUGGCUCCGGUUCCCAGUUCCCAAUUCCUGGUUCCCAGCCCCUUCUCCGUACUCUGCCCUCCCUGUUGGCUCUACGGAGCAUAUACAUACCAACUCCCUUGGCUUCAGAUCCCGGCUGUCGGCCCGGUCUUCUGGGCUGCUUUUGAUGAUGAUGGCAUUUCCUUUGGUAGUUGCGUACGUCAUAGAUUAAUGGCAGCAAUCCAUCAAAAUCACUCGAUGGACACGACGAACAGCCGAAAAUUCGGAAGAAGCAGCAAGUCCGUGCAGCAGCUCUACAGGAGCAAGUGAGAUGGGCAAUAGGGGUGAAAGGGAGGGGGAUGGUUUGCCAGCUUGCCAGUCAAAAAAAGGCACACAAUUUGGGUUUUUGUUUACGGCGUUCUUGUGCUUUUAUUCUCCCCAACUCCUGGACUGUACUGUGCAUUUUUUAUUAGGCUUUCCGACCACCAAAGCUUGUAUUGGCUUUAAAGAUAAAUAGGCAUAAGUAGCAUGUUUUUAGAAAUAUUGAACACUAAACUACAUAGGUUUUAAAUAUAUGGGCAAGGAUUCAUAAGUUACUAUA
Long non-coding RNA from Drosophila yakuba, 1681 nucleotides. RefSeq lists it as uncharacterized. The record is from RefSeq and is a predicted model, not a curated record. Lineage: Eukaryota; Metazoa; Arthropoda; Insecta; Diptera; Drosophilidae. The transcript has 3 exons.